CCUACGGGGGGCAGCAGUGGGGAAUAUUGGACAAUGGGGGCAACCCUGAUCCAGCCAUGCCGCGUGUGUGAAGAAGGCCCUCGGGUUGUAAAGCACUUUCAGUGAGGAAGAACGCCUGGUGGUUAAUACCCAUCAGGAAAGACAUCACUCACAGAAGAAGCACCGGCUAACUCCGUGCCAGCAGCCGCGGUAAUACGGAGGGUGCGAGCGUUAAUCGGAAUUACUGGGCGUAAAGCGCGCGUAGGUGGCUUGAUAAGCCGGUUGUGAAAGCCCCGGGCUCAACCUGGGAACGGCAUCCGGAACUGUCAAGCUAGAGUGCAGGAGAGGAAGGUAGAAUUCCCGGUGUAGCGGUGAAAUGCGUAGAGAUCGGGAGGAAUACCAGUGGCGAAGGCGGCCUUCUGGACUGACACUGACACUGAGGUGCGAAAGCGUGGGUAGCGAACAGGAUUAGAUACCCGAGUAGUC
This 465-nucleotide ribosomal RNA is filed under the name Vreelandella stevensii. RNAcentral describes it as "partial 16S ribosomal RNA". It matches the Rfam family "Bacterial small subunit ribosomal RNA", at positions 338 to 795 of the family's 1533-position model. The record is from RNAcentral. Lineage: Bacteria; Pseudomonadati; Pseudomonadota; Gammaproteobacteria; Oceanospirillales; Halomonadaceae.